RNA transcript from Cucumis melo (muskmelon), 2456 nucleotides. It is a transcript of the gene named probable polyamine transporter At1g31830, with no coding region annotated. The transcript is spliced from 4 exons. Lineage: Eukaryota; Viridiplantae; Streptophyta; Magnoliopsida; Cucurbitales; Cucurbitaceae. The record is from RefSeq and is a predicted model, not a curated record.
GCUCCACAAACUUUCAAAUCCCAACUUCAUCUUCCUUCUUCAUUUCUCAAUUUCACUCACUUCCUCUCUCCUCUGUUUUUCUUCUAUAUAUCCAAAAUUCAUUCCUAAUCCCAAACCACUUCUCUACCCUACUUCAAUUUCAAUCAUCAAUUAAAAGCUUUCAACAAACUCCUCCCUCUCUUAUUCACACACACACACACACACACACACACAUAUAUAAUAUAAUUUCAUGAAGACACACCAACAGGAACCGCCGGUUUCUGCUUCCCAGAUCCACUCGGUGGAGCUUGACCAGAAGGUAUUCCAACCUCACUCAAUCCCCUCCGCUGCUGCUUCCCCUCACCGUAACGGUGCCAAGGAGGAACCGCCCAUCGUUUCCGUUUCCGAUUCCGACCACCAGACAUACCGACAGGAACCGCCAAUUUCUGCUUCUCAGAUCCACUCGGCGGAGCUUGACCACAAGGAAUUACAACCUCAGUCAAUUCUCCCCGCCGCCGCCGCCGCCGCCGCUUCCGCUCACUGUAACGGUGCCAAGGAGGAACCGCCCAUCGUUUUCGUUUCCGAUUCCGACCAUCAGAAAUUGAGGACUUCGCCAGCCAGACAAACUUCUGUUUCAAUGGGAGAGAUAAAUCGUGCAGAGUACGUUUCGGUUGGCGAAUCACCUUCUCCUGCAGUCGUCAGUAAUGCGAAGAAAGUUUCUGUAUUACCACUUGUGUUUCUCAUCUUCUAUGAGGUUUCAGGCGGUCCAUUUGGAGUUGAGGAUAGUGUUGGGGCAGCUGGUCCUUUGUUGGCUCUUCUUGGAUUCUUAGUUUUUCCACUUAUAUGGAGCAUUCCUGAGGCAUUGAUUACUGCUGAGAUGGGGACUAUGUUCCCCGAAAAUGGUGGUUAUGUUGUUUGGGUUUCUUCUGCAUUAGGUCCAUUUUGGGGAUUUCAACAGGGUUGGAUGAAAUGGCUUAGUGGAGUUAUUGAUAAUGCUUUAUAUCCUGUCUUGUUUCUUGAUUAUUUGAAGUCAGAGAUCCCAGCUCUUGGUGGAGGUCUUCCAAGAGUUGCUGCAGUUUUGGCUUUGACAGUGAUCCUCACUUACAUGAAUUAUAGAGGAUUAACAAUUGUUGGUUGGGUAGCUGUAAUACUUGGUGUUUUCUCAAUCCUUCCUUUUGCGGUUAUGGGACUUGUGUCUAUUCCCAAGCUAAGGCCAGCUAGAUGGGUUGUGGUGAACCUAAAGGAUGUUGACUGGAAUCUGUAUUUGAACACUCUUUUCUGGAAUUUGAAUUAUUGGGAUUCUAUUAGCACAUUGGCUGGAGAAGUGGAAAAUCCAAACAAAACACUCCCUAAAGCACUUUUUUAUGCCUUGAUUUUGGUUGUUCUUAGUUACUUUUUGCCUCUUUUAAGUGGGACAGGAGCCAUUGCGCUUAAUCGCGAACUGUGGACUGAUGGCUACUUCUCUGAUGUUGCUAAAAUUAUUGGAGGGGCUUGGUUGGGUUGGUGGAUCCAAGGUGCUGCUGCAAUGUCGAAUAUGGGAAUGUUUGUGGCUGAGAUGAGCAGUGAUUCUUUCCAACUUCUUGGAAUGGCAGAACGUGGUAUGUUACCAGAGUUCUUCAGCAAACGGUCUCGUCAUGGGACACCAUUGAUUGGGAUUCUAUUCUCAGCCUCAGGUGUUGUUUUGCUUUCAUGGUUAAGCUUUCAAGAAAUCGUGGCUGCAGAAAACUUCUUGUACUGCUUUGGAAUGAUUCUGGAAUUCUUAGCCUUUAUCAAGCUAAGGAUUAAACACCCAGCUGCAUCUCGGCCAUACAAGAUUCCUGUGGGAACCGCUGGAUCAAUCCUGAUGUGCAUUCCUCCAACAAUAUUAAUAUGCAUAGUAUUGGCUCUUUCAACAGUCAAAGUGAUGAUUGUGAGUCUAGCCGCUGUGGCAAUUGGCUUAUUGUUGCAGCCCGGUCUCAAGUAUGUAGAAAAGAAGAGAUGGCUCAAAUUCUCUGUUAGUGCUGACCUCCCUGAUCUCCAUUUUGCCAACCGAGACCGGCCAGACACCUUGGUAUAUUAACAGGACUUCACUGAUCAUUCGGUUUCAAAGAAAGGAAGACUCAUUCUGAGAUGAUAAUGGCGCAUUGGAGAUCAAUAUCAGUUGAUUCAAUGGCAGACUCAAGAUCUUGGUUAUGUCUAUCUUUCUACAACAGUUUGUUGGUGCCUUUACAAAAGGCAUUGAAAUUCCGUGGAGGAAUCAAAAAGGCUAAAAGAAAAAGAUAUCCGAAAGCUGUUUAUACUUUAUAGUAAGCUUUUGGUUGAAUGAAAUGUUUACUCAUUUUAGUAACAUUUUGAAAUUUUCUCGGAAAAAGAAAAAGGAUCAAAUUAUACACGAUACUUUAUAUAGAGACUCAAUCGUGUGUGUACUCUCAAAUUUGUCGUUAUAACACCAUUGAAGUGAAGGCAAUUUAUGAUAAGAUGAUGUUUGAGUUGCUAUA